CAUUUAUGGAAAUCAUCUCCCAACGAAUUCGCAGUUUCAUUGUUCAGAACACUACCGAUAAGUAACACAACUAUGAAUCAAUCACAUCAUUGAGUACCAAAAGUUACAAAUAGCGUUCAGGAACUGACGCAUGUGUCCACAUCUAUUUUGCUACUCUUGGGUCUUGGCCAAAAAUUACCAAGCAUCAGCUCCCUUAGUUGCACCAAGAAUAAUUGCAACAGUGGCCACAACAGCAGCAAUUGUGCAAGCAAUGUAUCCUGGUUUCUCUCGUGGAUCAAUCCUUGCACAUAGUAGAACGAAUAGCCCAAUAAACCAGGGGAUAGCACCGAGAAAGAAACCGAUUAUAAACAAGAACCA
Molecule: unclassified non-coding RNA, 357 nt
Filed under: Hevea brasiliensis (rubber tree)
Lineage: Eukaryota; Viridiplantae; Streptophyta; Magnoliopsida; Malpighiales; Euphorbiaceae
Source: RNAcentral